GGGGAAUUUUGGACAAUGGGCGCAAGCCUGAUCCAGCCAUGCCGCGUGUCUGAAGAAGGCCUUUGGGUUGUAAAGGACUUUUGUCAGGGAAGAAAAGGGCGGGGUUAAUACCCCUGUCUGAUGACGGUACCUGAAGAAUAAGCACCGGCUAACUACGUGCCAGCAGCCGCGGUAAUACGUAGGGUGCGAGCGUUAAUCGGAAUUACUGGGCGUAAAGCGAGCGCAGACGGUUUAUUAAGCAAGAUGUGAAAUCCCCGAGCUUAACUUGGGAACUGCGUUUUGAACUGGUAAGCUAGAGUAUGUCAGAGGGGGGUAGAAUUCCACGUGUAGCAGUGAAAUGCGUAGAGAUGUGGAGGAAUACCGAUGGCGAAGGCAGCCCCCUGGGAUAAUACUGACGUUCAUGCUCGAAAGCGUGGGUAGCAAACAGGAUUAGAUACCCUGGUAGUCCACGCCCUAAACGAUGUCAAUUAGCUGUUGGGGCACUUGAUGCCUUAGUAGCGAAGCUAACGCGUGAAAUUGACCGCCUGGGGAGUACGGUCGCAAGAUUA
Molecule: ribosomal RNA, 548 nt
Filed under: uncultured bacterium
Lineage: Bacteria
Description: bacterial SSU rRNA
Rfam family: Bacterial small subunit ribosomal RNA
Source: RNAcentral